RNAcentral lists this transfer RNA (63 nucleotides) under human gut metagenome. It matches the Rfam family "tRNA", at positions 6 to 65 of the family's 71-position model. From Rfam's summary of the family: Transfer RNA (tRNA) molecules are approximately 80 nucleotides in length. Their secondary structure includes four short double-helical elements and three loops (D, anti-codon, and T loops). Further hydrogen bonds mediate the characteristic L-shaped molecular structure. tRNAs have two regions of fundamental functional importance: the anti-codon, which is responsible for specific mRNA codon recognition, and the 3' end, to which the tRNAs corresponding amino acid is attached (by aminoacyl-tRNA synthetases). tRNAs cope with the degeneracy of the genetic code in two manners: having more than one tRNA (with a specific anti-codon) for a particular amino acid; and 'wobble' base-pairing, i.e. permitting non-standard base-pairing at the 3rd anti-codon position. RNAcentral also lists the same sequence under 1 other name. The record is from RNAcentral.
CAUAGUUCAGCUGGUUAGAGCGUCGGAUUGUGGUUCCGAAGGUCGUGGGUUCGAAUCCCACUG